RNAcentral lists this ribosomal RNA (446 nucleotides) under uncultured bacterium. RNAcentral's name for it is "partial 16S ribosomal RNA". It matches the Rfam family "Bacterial small subunit ribosomal RNA", at positions 331 to 794 of the family's 1533-position model. The record is from RNAcentral.
CCAGACUCCUACGGGAGGCAGCAGUGGGGAAUAUUGCACAAUGGGGGAAACCCUGAUGCAGCGACGCCGCGUGAGCGAUGAAGUAUUUCGGUAUGUAAAGCUCUAUCAGCAGGGAAGAAAAUGACGGUACCUGACUAAGAGGCCCCGGCUAACUACGUGCCAGCAGCCGCGGUAAUACGUAGGUGGCAAGCGUUAUCCGGAUUUACUGGGUGUAAAGGGCGUGUAGGCGGGAAAGCAAGUCAGAUGUGAAAACCAUGGGCUCAACCUGUGGCCUGCAUUUGAAACUGUUUUUCUUGAGUACUGGAGAGGCAGACGGAAUUCCUAGUGUAGCGGUGAAAUGCGUAGAUAUCAGGAGGAACACCGGUGGCGAAGGCGGCCUGCUGGACUGUAACUGACGUUGAGGCUCGAAAGCGUGGGGAGCAAACAGGAUUAGAUACCCCCGUAUA